GACGUAGGGCGCGAGCGUUGUCCGGAUUUAUUGGGCGUAAAGAGCUCGUAGGUGGUUCGGUAAGUCGGGUGUUAAACCCCCAGGCUCAACCUGGGGACGCCACUCGAUACUGCUGUGACUUGAGUCCGGUAGGGGAGCGUGGAAUUCCUGGUGUAGCGGUGAAAUGCGCAGAUAUCAGGAGGAACACCAGCGGCGAAGGCGGCGCUCUGGGCCGGUACUGACACUGAGGAGCGAAAGCGUGGGGAGCAAACAGG
This 254-nucleotide ribosomal RNA is filed under the name uncultured bacterium. Its description in RNAcentral is "partial 16S ribosomal RNA". It matches the Rfam family "Bacterial small subunit ribosomal RNA", at positions 524 to 776 of the family's 1533-position model. The record is from RNAcentral.